GAUGAACGCUAGCGAUAGGCUUAACACAUGCAAGUCGAGGGGCAGCAUGGUCUUAGCUUGCUAAGACUGAUGGCGACCGGCGCACGGGUGCGUAACGCGUAUGCAACUUGCCUCACAGAGGGGGAUAACCCGUCGAAAGACGGACUAAUACCGCGUACACUCUAUUUUGGGCAUCCAAGGUAGAGGAAAUGAACUUCGCUGUGAGAUAGGCAUGCGUCCCAUUAGCUAGUUGGUGAGGUAACGGCUCACCAAGGCGACGAUGGGUAGGGGAACUGAGAGGUUGAACCCCCACACCGGUACUGAGACACGGACCAGACUCCUACGGGAGGAAGCAGUGAGGAAUAUUGGUCAAUGGGCGAGAGCCUGAACCAGCCAAGUCGCGUGAAGGAUGACUGUCUUAUGGAUUGUAAACUUCUUUUGUAGGGGAAUAAAGAGGGGCACGUGUGCCCCAGUGAAUGUACCCGACGAAUAAGCAUCGGCUAACUCCGUG
This 490-nucleotide ribosomal RNA is filed under the name uncultured bacterium. RNAcentral's name for it is "partial 16S ribosomal RNA". It matches the Rfam family "Bacterial small subunit ribosomal RNA", at positions 28 to 507 of the family's 1533-position model. The record is from RNAcentral.